UAAGCAUAUCAAUAAGCGGAGGAAAAGAAACCAACCGGGAUUGCCUCAGUAACGGCGAGUGAAGCGGCAAGAGCUCAAAUUUGAAAGCUGGCCCCUUCGGGGUCCGCGUUGUAAUUUGCAGAGGAUGCUUCGGGUGCGGCCCCUGUCUAAGUGCCCUGGAACGGGCCGUCAGAGAGGGUGAGAAUCCCGUCUUGGGCAGGGUGCCCGUGCCCGUGUGAAGCUCCUUCGACGAGUCGAGUUGUUUGGGAAUGCAGCUCUAAAUGGGUGGUAAAUUUCAUCUAAAGCUAAAUACCGGUCGGAGACCGAUAGCGCACAAGUAGAGUGAUCGAAAGAUGAAAAGCACUUUGAAAAGAGAGUUAAACAGCACGUGAAAUUGUUGAAAGGGAAGCGCUUGCGACCAGACUCGGCCCCGGGGUUCAGCCAGCACUCGUGCUGGUGUACUUCCCCGGGGGCGGGCCAGCGUCGGUUUGGGCGGCCGGUCAAAGGCCCCAGGAAUGUAUCGCCCUCCGGGGUUGUCUUAUAGCCUGGGGUGCAAUGCGGCCAGCCCGGACCGAGGAACGCGCUUCGGCACGGACGCUGGCGUAAUGGUCGCAAACGACCCGUCUUGAAACACGGACCAAGGAGUCUAACAUCUACGCGAGUGUUCGGGCGUCAAACCCGUACGCGCAGUGAAAGCGAACGGAGGUGGGAGCCCCCCCGGGGCGCACCAUCGACCGAUCCUGAUGUCUUCGGAUGGAUUUGAGUAAGAGCGUAGCUGUGGGGACCCGAAAGAUGGUGAACUAUGCCUGAAUAGGGCGAAGCCAGAGGAAACUCUGGUGGAGGCUCGCAGCGGUUCUGACGUGCAAAUCGAUCGUCAAAUUUGGGUAUAGGGGCGAAAGACUAAUCGAACCAUCUGGUAGCUGGUUCCUGCCGAAGUU
This 917-nucleotide ribosomal RNA is filed under the name Aspergillus nidulans. Its description in RNAcentral is "LSU rRNA". It matches the Rfam family "Eukaryotic large subunit ribosomal RNA", at positions 35 to 968 of the family's 3401-position model. The record is from RNAcentral. Lineage: Eukaryota; Fungi; Ascomycota; Eurotiomycetes; Eurotiales; Aspergillaceae.